GUACAAAGGCAUUAAACUUUAACUUAACAUGAUUUAACUAACCAUUUUGGGUUAGUGCUUUUAAAACUGGUGCUUUCUGGGGGAUUUAUAGCAUUAGUAGGCUUUAUUAUGGUCCAUUACAGCAUAUUUCAUGUUCUUAACAGAGAGGAGAUUAUUAAAAUAAGCACAGUGCACCAGUAACUUGGGUAGACUAAUUUGUGAGGCAGUAUCAUUACGGUAGCUAGUGCACUGUGGUGGAAUGCAGUCUGGAUUCCCAGGUGGGAGGGGCUAGGGUUAGGGGUUGCAUUCCAGAGAAGCAAGAGACAGCAAAGUUUAGAUAGUUUGGUUGGGAAGAAGAAGGUCAAGGCAGCUCCUCCCUAGAAGUUCUCAGAAUACUGUAUACGUUUAAUGAUGCAAGUAGUUUGCUUUACGGUGGCAUGAUUUCUGUCUGUACUAGGUA
Long non-coding RNA from Thamnophis elegans (Western terrestrial garter snake), 439 nucleotides. RefSeq lists it as uncharacterized. NCBI's taxonomy places the organism in Eukaryota, Metazoa, Chordata, Lepidosauria, Squamata, Natricidae. The transcript has 2 exons. The record is from RefSeq and is a predicted model, not a curated record.